CAGCCUACGGGAGGCAGCAGUGAGGAAUAUUGGUCAAUGGGCGCAAGCCUGAACCAGCCAAGUCGCGUGAGGGAUGACGGUCCUAUGGAUUGUAAACCUCUUUUGUCGGGGAGCAAGGCCCGCCACGUGUGGCGGGAAGGAGAGUACCCGAAGAAAAAGCAUCGGCUAACUCCGUGCCAGCAGCCGCGGUAAUACGGAGGAUGCGAGCGUUAUCCGGAUUUAUUGGGUUUAAAGGGGGCGUAGGCGGAAGGUUAAGUCAGCGGUCAAAUGUCGGGGCUCAACCCCGUCGUGCCGUUGAAACUGAG
Molecule: ribosomal RNA, 305 nt
Filed under: uncultured bacterium
Lineage: Bacteria
Description: bacterial SSU rRNA
Rfam family: Bacterial small subunit ribosomal RNA
Source: RNAcentral